ACUCCUACGGGAGGCAGCAGUCGGGAAUUUUGGGCAAUGGGCGAAAGCCUGACCCAGCAACGCCGCGUGAAGGAUGAAGUAUUUCGGUAUGUAAACUUCGAAAGAAUGGGAAGAAACAAAUGACGGUACCAUUUAUAAGGUCCGGCUAACUACGUGCCAGCAGCCGCGGUAAUACGUAGGGACCAAGCGUUGUUCGGAUUUACUGGGCGUAAAGGGCGCGUAGGCGGCAUAUUAAGUCAGCUGUGAAAUCUCCGAGCUUAACUCGGAACUGUCAGCUGAUACUGAUGUGCUAGAGUGCAGAAAGGGCAAUCGGAAUUCUUGGUGUAGCGGUGAAAUGCGUAGAUAUCAAGAGGAACACCUGAGGCGAAGGCGGGUUGCUAGGCUGACACUGACGCUGAGUGCGCGAAAGCCAGGGGAGCAAACGGGAUUAGAUACCCCGGUAGUCCUGGCCUUAAACGAUGAAUACUUGGUGUCUGGAGUCUUUAAUGCUCCGGGUGCCGUCGCUAACGUUUUUAGUAUUCCGCCUGGGGAGUACGCUCGCAAGAGUGAAACUCAAAGGAAUUGACG
Molecule: ribosomal RNA, 567 nt
Filed under: uncultured Acidobacteriota bacterium
Lineage: Bacteria; Pseudomonadati; Acidobacteriota
Description: bacterial SSU rRNA
Rfam family: Bacterial small subunit ribosomal RNA
Source: RNAcentral